Carya illinoinensis is the source of this 1851-nucleotide long non-coding RNA. RefSeq lists it as uncharacterized. NCBI's taxonomy places the organism in Eukaryota, Viridiplantae, Streptophyta, Magnoliopsida, Fagales, Juglandaceae. The transcript is spliced from 2 exons. The record is from RefSeq and is a predicted model, not a curated record.
CCCUAACAGUCUCUUCCUCUUCAAAGAACCUUGCCCACAAGGUGUGGGUAAAGGUUUCGAAGCUUCCACAAGGUUUCCCAGCUACUUUCCUCUGUCGGUAACCCAUUCCAUUUCACCAACACUUCAGUCACUGCUCGAUCUCCCUGUUUCUUCAUCUUCCUAUCCAAAAUCAGUUCUGGUUCCGGUUGGAUCUCACCAGAAGAAUCAGUGGGAGGGAGAUUCGGGAGGAUUGGGGUCUGAGAACCCAAUUUCUUCUUCAGACAAGACACGUGAAAUGUGGGAUGGAUCUUCAAAGACUCUGGUAGCCUUAGACGAUAGGCGAUAGUUCCGAUCUUUUCUUCCACCUGGAAAGGUCCAUAGAACCUUGGUGAUAGCUUCAGAUUCUGCCUCAAAGCUAGAGUUUUUUGACGAUAUGGUUGCAAUUUCAGGUAAACCCAAUCCCCCUUUUCAAAUACUCGUUCAGUUCUCUAUCUAUCCGCAUAAUGUUUCAUUCUAUGUUGAGCAUCAUUUAAAUUUUCUUUGAGCAAGUUUAUUACUCGGUCCCUGUUGUUGAGGAACUGAUUUGCCGCAUCAUUUGCUACUGUUCCCGGUACAUAGGACAAGAGAGUGGGUGGGGGGUAGUCGUAAACAGCCUGAUAAGGGGUCAUUUUAGUCGCCCUAUGAUAGGUUGUAUUAUACCACCAUUCAGCCAUGGGAAGCCAGUAAGACCAAACCUUAGGCUUCGAACCAGCAUAGCAACGUAAAUAGGCUUCCACACAUUUAUUCACUACUUCAGUUUGGCUAUCCGAUUGUGGGUGAUAAGCUGAACUGAAAUCAAGGGAAGACCCUUGCGCACUGAAAAUGGCCUUCCAGAAAUUACUUAAAAAAAUUGGGUCCCUAUCUGAUACCACAGACCUAGGGCACCCAUGCAGCUUAAACACAUUCUUCAUAAACUCUUCUGCCACCACUUGAGCAGUGUAGGGAUGAGCUAAGGGUAUAAAAUGCCCGUACUUAGAGAGUCGAUCAACCACCACCAAUAUUACACUGAAUCCUUUUGAAACUGGUAGACCUUCCACAAAAUCAAGAGAAAUGUCAGUCCAAGGUUGGUUGGGAAUGGGAAGUGGCUGGAGUAGUCCAGCUGGGUGAACAGUCUCGUUUUUCAUGGCUUGGCAGGGUUAAACAUUUUUAUGGGAAGGCGGAUUUCAUCUUUCAGCCCGCUUAUGAAGCAACAUAGCUUGUGUUCAUCGGAAAGGCCCCUCGACCGAUUGGCUAGGGCUUCAAAUUGUGCCGUGUAAGCCGCAAUAGAGCUGGACUGUUUCAAUCGGGUUAGUGCUUCCAUGCGACUAUCGUACGACGUUGGCCCAAAGCGGAGGAGCAUAGACCUGGUUAAUGUGUCCCAGUCAUGGAAAUGGCCCCUCUCAAAAGACUCUUGGUACCAUACUAGAGCCUCCCCCUCCAUGUGGUAAGAUGCCAUGAGCAAGUGGUGUGGCAAGGGAGUCUGAUGGAAUUCAAAGUAAUGGUGUGCUUUGAAAAUCCAUGCAGCUGGAUUUUCUCCUUGAAAGUGGGGAUAGUCUAAGCGCACACCCCUGAAAUUGCCUCUUCUUGGUUCUUGUGGUUCGUGGUCUUCAUACUGCAGCUGGCGUUGUUUCUGAUCAUUUUGUUGAUUGUUUUGCUGAUUUUGGUUGAGCUGUUGUUGUUGGUGUUGCCGAACUAUUGUGCGCAUUAUAUCAUUGAGUGUGUCGAAAUUAUGCUGAAAAUUCCUCAUGGUUUGCUGGUUUUGUUCAUUUUGCUGUUGUGUCUGCUGUUUAAGUUCCAGUAUUUGCUACUGUAACUCCUCAUGUUGUUGAGUCUUGGAUCUAGUAUUGUCUGCCA